CGGCGGCCACCGGUAUAGGAAUUCGAUUAAGACAUGCGAGUCGAGAGUCGUAAUGGAUUCGGCGGACUGCUCAGUAACACGUGGAUAACGUGCCCUUAAGUGGAGGAUAAUCUCGGGAAAUUGAGGAUAAUACUCCAUAGACUACGAAAUCUGGAAUGAUUCAUAGUUGAAAGUUGCGGCGCUUAAGGAUCGGUCUGCGGCCUAUCAGGUUGUAGUGGGUGUAACGUACCUACUAGCCUAUGACGGGUAUGGGCCUUGAGAGAGGGAGCCCAGAGUUGGAUUUUGAGACACGAAUCCAGGCCCUACGGGGCGCAGCAGUCGCGAAAACUUCACAAUGGGGGCAACCCCGAUGAGGGAAUUCUUAGUGCUAGCACAAUUGUGUUAGCUUUUCUCUAGCGUAGAUAACUGGAGGAAUAAGGGCUGGAAA
RNAcentral lists this ribosomal RNA (427 nucleotides) under uncultured archaeon. Its description in RNAcentral is "SSU rRNA". It matches the Rfam family "Archaeal small subunit ribosomal RNA", at positions 18 to 448 of the family's 1478-position model. The record is from RNAcentral.